UAUUUUCAAACAAUCAAAACCCUUGGCUAAGACAUUCCUCAAAGAAAAUGAAUGGAUUCGGCCAUGGGAAGAGCCUUGAGUUGGCUGGAAGAAGAAGGAGGGGGAAAAGCUCUAUGAAGUGUGAGAAAACUUCAAUUGUUCCUCCCAAAUGGACAACUUCACUCAGGUUGAACGGUCCCAUGAUGAGCGGCUGAGUCAGAACCAGAACUCAGAACUUGUGAUCCGGAGACUGGACUGUGCCCACAUCACACUGCCUUUAAAAUUAAACACACUCACACACUUCCUUAAUGACAGACCAAAGAUGGUUCUGGUUGCUGGGUUUGCUUUUUGACACAAGUCUUCCAAGACGAGCCGUCUCCGUAGCACCUUGCUGGUGAAUCAAAGGCGUGCUUUUCUUACAGUCUGCCUUUCAGAACCAGUUUGGAUCAACCACAUGAGUUUCAGAGACAAGCUUCCCAAACGCCAGGUGGGGGCAGAAAAGCCCCCUUUGCAGGCACUCUGUGCCCCGAUUGUGUCGCUGUCACAGGUCUGUCCGAGAUCCCCAGCCCUGCCUACGGCUCUCAGGGCGCCAAUUACAAAGAGCUGUGGCCAGGUAAAGAGCAGGAGGGCUGAGAGGCCAUGGCGCGAGGAGCCAGGUGCACCCCAGAAGUGGGCGCCUCCUCUUCCUUAUAAUGUAGCUGCUCAGACAACCACAACCAUAUCGGUGUAAACGUCACACAACUGUAGCUUAAGUAGGCGGGGCAAACAGGUUGUUUUUUUACAGUUGCAAAGCUUUUACAUUUAUGUGAAAUGAUACAAUGUUAACUCUAAAGAGACAGAGACAAGUGAAGGAUGUACACUGUUACCCCUAAAGCAACCACAGGGGAAAAAAGCAAAACAGACAUAGCUCCAGAAGACAAUAGAUAAGUUAAAAUGGAAUUCUAAAAAUCAACUCAAAAAUAAGACAAUCAGAAGACAAAUAGCAAAAGGACAGAUUUCCUGUCCUAUCAAUAAUUACAGUCAAUGUAGAGAGUAAGACUCUCCGAAGAAAGGCAGAGAUACUCAGAGUGAAUGUAAAAAAGGGAGACCCAGUGAUAUGCUGUCUACAAGCGACGCACUUUUAAUGUAGAUGCACAGAGGGGUGUGGGUAGAGCUCAGUGGUAGAGCACGUGCCCUUAGCAUGCACGGGGGUCCUGGGUCCAAUCCCCAGCAUCUCCAUUAAAUAAACAAAAUAAAUAAAGGAGAUCAAUCAAGUUGGGACCAGAGUUUGUUUUUUAAAAAAAUGUAAAUACACAGAUAAGCUGAAAGCAAAAGGAUGGGGGAAGGCACACCAUUUGUCACUAUAUUAACAUCAGAUCUAAGACACGUGAAGACAAGGUAUCACUGGAAAUAAAGAGGGACAUUUCAUAAUAAUGAAAGUGUCAAUUUAUCACGAGGUCCUAACAGUCAUAAAAGUGUAUGAGCUUAACAAAAGAGCUCUGAAGUAUGUGCAGCAAGACUCGGCAGACAGCAGGGAGAGGCGGACUGGUGCGUGUCCGCACACAGGCACCGGGCUCCGUGUCAGCAGCCCCUGGGCAUGUUCUGUACCCGUCGCCCAUGGAUCAAGAGAAAAUCCCUUCCCACUCUUGUGAUCAGGGAUCCCAGCCAAUCAGAAGGAAGCUGUCUGCUCCCCACCCCUCGCUACUGUUACAGGAAGUAGAAACUUGCAGGUGGGUUUGUGGUGCUAAGUCUGGUUGUGAAAGGCUUACUGGGUUCAGCUGCUGGCGGGUCAAGCAGGUAGGCUGACACCUACUGCCCCCGCACGGCAGUGG
Molecule: non-coding RNA, 1790 nt
Organism: Vicugna pacos (alpaca)
Lineage: Eukaryota; Metazoa; Chordata; Mammalia; Artiodactyla; Camelidae
Source: RefSeq, a predicted model, not a curated record